Amphimedon queenslandica is the source of this 895-nucleotide long non-coding RNA. RefSeq lists it as uncharacterized. The transcript is spliced from 7 exons. The record is from RefSeq and is a predicted model, not a curated record. NCBI's taxonomy places the organism in Eukaryota, Metazoa, Porifera, Demospongiae, Haplosclerida, Niphatidae.
CAUAAGUUUAUUAAAUCAUACUAAUUGGUUGAGGUUAAUGUUAUUUAAUUGAAGUAGCUUUUUGGUGAGGACCAUGGCGUAUGGUCUGUUACUGUAGAGGAGUGAGGAGGAGACAGACACUGAAUUUACUGAGCAGUUUUCUUAAUGAGGUAAGCAGUGCUGGUGAAGACUCAAAGGAAUUAGGUAUAUUCACUGCACUAAUGAAAGACCAAAAUGGAAACUGGAAGAAAUACUUGGCUAAGAGAGGAGUACUGUUACUGAUAAGGGGGACUGAUUGAAAAAGUAAAUGAGAUACCAAAGGCUCUAUGCAGUACAUGUAUGUGUCUUCAAUUGACCAGGAAUCUAGACUCCAGCUGACAACAAAAUGAAAAAUGAAAAUAUGAAUGCAUUAUCAAGUUAAUUGAUAUGCAAGCUACAUGUACAGUACAUGUACAUGUAUGAUCAAGAGUAUAGUAUGAUUGAAAGAUGGGAGAGAGCUGGCACUCAUACUCAGCGACAGAGCUUGUUAAAGGUACAUAGUCCUGGUUGCUACUGUAUAGCAAAAGAUUUUGGCUAUUCUAUAAUUGCAAUGUUGUAGUGGUUUUUAUACUGGCAAAUUUGCAAUUGAGCAUGCUCAGAAUAAGGCAAUUUUUUGAUGAUUAUUUUGUCACUAAUCUUCCAAUCACCAAUUAUUACAGAUUUAUCACCAAUCUACCAAUUUUUACUGCCAUGUGCUUAAAUCACCCACCAAAAUAUAGGGUACUUUAAUGUAUCAUGAAGGAGAAAAGAAUUAAUCCAUUCAAACAGAAAAAAAGGCACAUUAUGCUAUUUAAUAGAUUAUUGCUUUAUUGCAAGAUUGUAAGUUUACACUUUUAAUUAGAAAUAUUUCAUAUUUUCAAAGGAAAGCUGCUAUACA